CAGGCAGGCGCGCGCACGGAGCUUCGCGCACAGCCCCGCGCGCGCCCUCCCCUCUGCUUUGCUCCGCUCCGCUCCCCCCGCCGCCGCCGGGCGCGCGCACAGCCGGGGCCGCCCGGGGGGGCUCUAGAGCCCGGCGGGCCGCGAGCGCCGCAGGGGCAGCGCCGGCCCGUCCUCCCUCAGCACUACGGACACCACGGCGGCGGCGGCUGCCCGGCUCCGGGCUGUAGCUGUUGUUGCCAUGAUGAUGAUGUCACGGACGCAACCAUUGGGGGGAGUGGGGGGAGGACGGGCCAUGGUUUGGGGGGAAGCGAGGGAGAGAGGUGUCUUAUUCCCCCCCUCCCCCACCAGUCCGGCUCAGCAGACGUGCGUAAGGCUUCGGAGGUUUUUUUUCUCCCCCAAAUUAUUAUUCUCCCCCCCACCCUUUUCUUCCCUGGGUAGCAAGAAGCGGGGGGUGGGGCGGGGGGAGCUCGAUGAUUCGGUGAUCGGCCGCCGAGGUCGGGGCGAGGCUGCGGAAUUCCGAGCCGCGGAUUGGACAGGCCGGGGGUGGGGGGAGGACGAGGGAACGCCGCCGGGCCAGGAUUGGGUUAAGCUGGGUCGGCCGCCAUUUUGGAUGCUGAGCCGUCUUGCUGCGGGAAGAUUGAGAGCACACUUCUACUUUUUGUAUUCUUUUUGCAAUCAAGUGAAGAAGUUAGCCUCCAGGGUCACGCCAAGGAUGUUCUACAUUUCUAAGGUCUAUACUGUGAAACCUUGGAGUGCUCUGUCUAUGGGGAUGCCCUGGGUGUACCCCAACUGCAUGUCAGAAUGAGAGCUAAGUGUGGGCCGUGUAUUCCGGAGUGUUGAUUUUUCAGGUUACAAAAACCUGAAUUCUGUAAGGAGAAAACCUGGGCACAUGGAUCAGAAGUAGCAUGUGGUACAUCCAGUUGGUAUCCCAAUCUGGCCAGUCAUACUGUCUGUAUUGUAGAGUAAGUGUAUUCUGCAGUGUGCACCACAGACUGAGUGAAUAGAAGAGAAUCUUCAGACUACAGUACAUAUUUGGUGCCGUGCAAUAUAGUCUCAGCCUACCAAACCUGUACGUACUUUACCACAUAUUAGAAGCCAUAGUCUCAUGUUAGGCUCUGAGAAUCCUUAAACACUCAAUGCAAAAAAUUAGUCUUCUAGGUCCACAGAAGUGAGUACGUUGAAUGAGGAGUUGCCUAUGAAAUACUGAGAAAGAAAGUAUGACCUAAAUAUUCCCCUGUCCAAGGGAGUAAGUGUUGAAUAUUGGACUGAAGCUGCCUAGAGUUAAUCACUUAGCGUUAGUAGCUGAAUUUGCUGAAGCCUUAAGGCCGCAAGCUGUGAACUUUCACCUAGAUCUGUUGAACUUUUACCUAGUUAAGUAAAAGAAGGCCCCAGAGCCAGUUCAAGACGGAAGAUAAGGGGCAGCCGUGGAGAUAAGAAAAGAAAUGGCCCGCCUAGAGACAAUGAAGGGACCCAAUGAAGAACAGGAAGACCCCAGACCUUAAUAUUACUAUUGGUUCUGAACUAUCGUGUGAAGGGUGGGGAACUUAGAUUAUAAGGGUAUAAUUGCCCAGGAAUUUCUUUGUUCGGAGUCCCUCUCCAGAGGCACCAAGCUCGAGCUGUUACUUGCCGCUGUACCACUUACAGUAAAUUAGUUUGUGAUACUCCGCGUCUGAGACUCUGCUUCGGGAAACCUAGGGUCAAGAAACUUCCUUAACGUAAGGCUUAUGCCUUCUCUCAGGUUUCUCAGUUUGGAGUCCUUUCCUAGAGUUAGGUAUCUAAGCCAAGUAAGCCAAAAGGCUUAUUUC
This is a long non-coding RNA of Apteryx haastii (Great spotted kiwi), 1805 nucleotides long. The record is from Ensembl. NCBI's taxonomy places the organism in Eukaryota, Metazoa, Chordata, Aves, Apterygiformes, Apterygidae.